This 449-nucleotide ribosomal RNA is filed under the name uncultured bacterium. Its description in RNAcentral is "bacterial SSU rRNA". It matches the Rfam family "Bacterial small subunit ribosomal RNA", at positions 330 to 793 of the family's 1533-position model. The record is from RNAcentral.
UCCAGACUCCUACGGGAGGCAGCAGUGGGGAAUAUUGGGCAAUGGGCGCAAGCCUGACCCAGCAACGCCGCGUGAAGGAAGAAGGCUUUCGGGUUGUAAACUUCUUUUCUCAGGGACGAAGCAAGUGACGGUACCUGAGGAAUAAGCCACGGCUAACUACGUGCCAGCAGCCGCGGUAAUACGUAGGUGGCAAGCGUUAUCCGGAUUUACUGGGUGUAAAGGGCGUGUAGGCGGGACUGCAAGUCAGAUGUGAAAAUCAUGGGCUCAACCUAUGGCCUGCAUUUGAAACUGUAGUUCUUGAGUACUGGAGAGGCAGACGGAAUUCCUAGUGUAGCGGUGAAAUGCGUAGAUAUCAGGAGGAACACCGGCGGCGAAGGCGGCCUGCUGGACCGUGACUGACGUUGAGGCUCGAGAGCGUGGGGAGCAAACAGGAUUAGAUACCCCUGUAC